AGCGAACGCUGGCGGCAGGCCUAACACAUGCAAGUCGAACGGAUCCUUCGGGAUUAGUGGCGGACGGGUGAGUAACACGUGGGAACGUGCCCUUUGGUUCGGAACAACUCAGGGAAACUUGAGCUAAUACCGGAUGUGCCCUUCGGGGGAAAGAUUUAUCGCCAUUGGAGCGGCCCGCGUCUGAUUAGCUAGUUGGUGAGGUAAAGGCUCACCAAGGCGACGAUCAUUAGCUGGUCUGAGAGGAUGAUCAGCCACAUUGGGACUGAGACACGGCCCAAACUCCUACGGGGGGCAGCAGUGGGGAAUCUUGCGCAAUGGGCGAAAGCCUGAUGCAGCCAUGCCGCGUGGAUGAUGAAGGUCUUAGGAUUGUAAAAUUCUUUCACCGGGGACGAUAAUGACGGUACCCGGAGAAGAAGCCCCGGCUAACUUCGUGCCAGCCGCCGCAGUAA
RNAcentral lists this ribosomal RNA (449 nucleotides) under uncultured bacterium. RNAcentral describes it as "partial 16S ribosomal RNA". It matches the Rfam family "Bacterial small subunit ribosomal RNA", at positions 29 to 523 of the family's 1533-position model. The record is from RNAcentral.